Non-coding RNA from Peromyscus maniculatus bairdii (prairie deer mouse), 1962 nucleotides. The record is from RefSeq and is a predicted model, not a curated record. Lineage: Eukaryota; Metazoa; Chordata; Mammalia; Rodentia; Cricetidae.
AGUGGCUUGGAAGAGCACGCUUUGACGAUCUCCCACAGGGGUCUGAGGUAGCUUCUGAGGGCCUUGCCCCGGGGUCCUAACUCAGGUCAACCUCGACUGGAGAGUUCAGCUCGUUUGCUCAGGGCGAGGCUGGACCUGCCUGGUGCAGCCUCCACUGGGGUCAGAAGGUUCACCGGAGGGGGUCUGCUUCUGAGCUCCUGGAUGGACUGUUGACAGGACUGGCGUCCUCAGAAGCUGUUGGCCUGAGGGCCUCAGAUGCUCCUGCCUGGGGUCUGAAGACUGCCCUCCGAGCCACAGGGCGCGAGAACACCAUUUCUGGCCCUCAUCCAUGUGAGCAGCAAUAGAGCCGGUGAGAGCUGGCCAGAGGGCUCUCUCACCUUAGCAGCCCACACUGGAGAAUCUAGGUGGCAUCUGAACACAGGGCUCUCGGGGGUCACCGCAAAGCGCCACCUAACACAACCCGUAAGCCGGGUGUCCCGAGGAGGGGCCGAGCAGACGGCCACUGGUUUCUCUAAGUCAGAGCCUCUGUAGAGAAGACACUGGGAGAUAACGUUUACAGAGAGGCGUGCUGAGACGGAAUCUAGUAAGAAAUGGACAGCAUGAAAAAGAAGCCGUCAAGAUGUAGCGUAGGCUGCGGGGGAUACGGAAACAGAAGGGAAGGAACCGAGACAUGGAGAUGCGGGAUCACAUUCCGUGUCCAUUCUCAGGAAGACCGAUCCCUGAGGUGUUUCCCCACGGAGCCGGAGCCGACCAUGACGUAAACAGCGAAGGAUUUGGGGCCACAUUCCUGAUAGUCCUCCUCCGGACUUCUUGACAAGGGGGUGGAGCUGAGUCGUUCCUGGAAUCAUCGAUCACCCCAGACAUCACAUUUAGAACUAUGCAAAUAAUUCAGACGCUACAACGCAAGCCCUAAAUAGACCUUAAACCCACACACAACUUACUUGUGUCCAGAUCCGUGGACUGUGUCCCUUUAAAUGUCCUUUCCAUUCCUGGUUGUACUGUAAUCAGCAGAUGGCCCUGCCUUCCCCCCUCUCCCCACUCCCCCCUUGAAACAGACCCCUCUAAUAGCUAACAUCCUGCGGUGACCAAAGCCAUUAGAAGGAUUAGACCAUUACUGUUCUGUCCAGCACACACACAAUGCUCCAGGGACUGCCUUUCUUCCUCUUCGUUUGAUGUUUUUUUGUGGAUGAAAUCAGGGCCCAAUGGCAGGUUGAAAAAUCAAAAAAUGAGGAGAGCAGAAGGUGAUAGUCAUUCUUUCUAAGGACACCUCCCAAACAGCUUUCCUAUUUGAGAUUCCUUUGUUAAGGUGACAGCAGAUGCCAGCCUUGUGGAUAAGGCAGGCACAGAACGCACGCGGACAGGUAGGUUACAGACCUCUGUUCCUCGUUACCAUAAUACUGAAUGCUCAUCCUUUCCCAACCACGCCAGCGAAUCCGUUCUCUGUCUGCUCGCCCGCCCCGUUGUUUGUGCUGGAAAGAACCCCGGCCCAGCCCAGAGCCACGUUGCAGGGCUCGGGACUGCUCUGAAACACUGCCACCAAGUGGCGUGAUGAGACUCCUGCCUACCCUGGAUCUCUCAUUAGGCGGAAAUCAACACAGCCUUCGGCGCAGUGAAGUUGUCAAUUGGAAGACCUAAGUUUGUGUUUCAACACCUGAUGGGUCUGAAAUUCUUGCUCGGAGACAUAUGCAGUGGAUGUGCCGAGAGGAAAUUAUAUCCGGCUUUCUGCUUCUGCUCAGCGCUUUCCCCCGGUAUUUGCCGCCAUAAUGGGAAGCCCGGGAGGUUAUGGGGCAUCCUGAGGGCACUGCAAUAAAAGCCGUGUUGGUACCCCAUGUCACCCUGAGACCCUGCCGACAGUACUGUCAGAGGCCAGCAGAGGGCACUGGAUUCCUCUGGAACUGGAUCGUGGGUGGCUGUGAGCUGCCAUGGCGGUGCUUAGAAGCAGACCCAGAACUUACAGAGGUA